This 253-nucleotide ribosomal RNA is filed under the name uncultured bacterium. RNAcentral's name for it is "partial 16S ribosomal RNA". It matches the Rfam family "Bacterial small subunit ribosomal RNA", at positions 524 to 776 of the family's 1533-position model. The record is from RNAcentral.
UACGAAGGGGGCUAGCGUUGUUCGGAUUUACUGGGCGUAAAGCGCUCGUAGGCGGAUCGAUCCGUUAGGGGUGAAAUCCCAGAGCUCAACUCUGGAACUGCCUUUGAUACUGUCGAUCUGGAGUAUGGAAGAGGUGAGUGGAAUUCCGAGUGUAGAGGUGAAAUUCGUAGAUAUUCGGAGGAACACCAGUGGCGAAGGCGGCUCACUGGUCCAUUACUGACGCUGAGGUGCGAAAGCGUGGGGAGCAAACAGG